RNAcentral lists this ribosomal RNA (253 nucleotides) under uncultured bacterium. Its description in RNAcentral is "partial 16S ribosomal RNA". It matches the Rfam family "Bacterial small subunit ribosomal RNA", at positions 524 to 776 of the family's 1533-position model. The record is from RNAcentral.
UACGUAGGGGGCUAGCGUUGUUCGGAUUUAUUGGGCGUAAAGAGCGUGUAGGCGGUCAAGUAGGUCCGGUGUGAAAACUCGAGGCUUAACCUCGAGAUGUCAUCGGAAACCAUUUGGCUAGAGUCCGGAAGAGGAAAGUGGAAUUCCUGGUGUAGCGGUGAAAUGCGUAGAGAUCGGGAAGAACAUCGGUGGCGAAAGCGCUCUACUGGACCGCAACUGACACUCAGGGACGAAAGCUAGGGGAGCGAAUGGG